This 778-nucleotide ribosomal RNA is filed under the name uncultured Neocallimastigales. RNAcentral describes it as "partial large subunit ribosomal RNA". It matches the Rfam family "Eukaryotic large subunit ribosomal RNA", at positions 24 to 627 of the family's 3401-position model. Lineage: Eukaryota; Fungi; Neocallimastigomycota; Neocallimastigomycetes; Neocallimastigales. The record is from RNAcentral.
UAUCUCUGUAGAGUCUGCAUAUCAAUAAGCGGAGGAAAAGAAACUAACUAGGAUUCCCUCAGUAACGGCGAGUGAAGCGGGAAGAGCUCAAAUUUGAAAUCUUCAAGGUUCUACCUUGACGAAUUGUAGUUUAAAGAAGUGUUUUCUGUUGGAGGUUUUGGUAAAAGUUCUUUGGAAUAGGACAUCAUAGAGGGUGAGAAUCCCGUAUUUGACCAUUUACUUUCCAGCUUUGUGAUACACUUUCAAAGAGUCGGAUUGUUUGGGAAUGCAGUCCAAAAUGGGUGGUAAAUUUCAUCUAAAGCUAAAUACUGGCGAGAGACCGAUAGCGAACAAGUACCGUGAGGGAAAGAUGAAAAGGAACUUUGAAAAGAGAGUUAAACAGUACGUGAAAUUGUCAAAAGGGAAGCGUUUGACACCAGUGUUGUUUUCUCGAAAAUCAAUUAAAAAAGGCAGGAUUUUGUGUUGUAUUGACUUUAUCAGCUUUCUGCACUCUUUUCUUGUCUUUUUUAAUGCACUUUUCGUUUAACAAGUCAACAUCAAUUUCUUUUGUUGUAAAAGGGUCAUUGGAAGGUGGCUUUCUUUUCGGAGAAAGUGUUUAUAGCCUUUGGCCUCUGCAAUCGGAGAGAUUGAGGUCUGCAGCGUAGAUCCUUCGGGGUUAGAUACAUUUGUGCUAAGUUAUAGCCUUUCAUAGACAACUUGUUGACUAUGAUCAGUCAUAUAGCUUACUCGCUUAUGCUAUUUUACCUACGCUUAGGAUGUUGACGAUCAGCUGAGCGCG